Molecule: non-coding RNA, 339 nt
Organism: Leptonychotes weddellii (Weddell seal)
Lineage: Eukaryota; Metazoa; Chordata; Mammalia; Carnivora; Phocidae
Source: RefSeq, a predicted model, not a curated record
UCAUCUACCAGACUAUAUUCAGCAUCUAUGACGGUACCCAGCACAUGAAAGGAGUCCCAGGUUUCAUUUUAGAGACUUAGCCCUGGAAAAGUCCCAUGGAAAAAAACAACUCUGCACAAAAAUGAAAUGGAGCAUGGAGCCUUAACCUUCAAUUCCACUUUUAUUUCCCCAGGAAUAUCCUAAAACAAAACACACUAUUUACCGCUAGGCUUCCUGAAGGCCACAUCACUGGUGAGCUGAGCAAAAAUGGCAGUCUAAGAGGGACGCAUCAGCUACAAAAUGCUACAAAAUCAAUGACAAGAUGAGAGAUGUAACCUAAUCCAGCUCUACAAGAAAGGA